This 226-nucleotide long non-coding RNA is filed under the name Mytilus galloprovincialis (Mediterranean mussel). The record is from RNAcentral. Lineage: Eukaryota; Metazoa; Mollusca; Bivalvia; Mytilida; Mytilidae.
GAGGAUUUUACGUUUAUAAGUCCUUAAAUUCUUUAUUGAAAAGCACUUUACGCCCAUAUGAGCCAAUGGCUUAAAACAUUAUACAUAAUAUACAGUUUACAUAUAUAAAACAACUUGAUGAAAAAGACAACGACCCACAAUACAUAAAAUGGAUAUAAUUUUGUGUUUCCAUUUUGUAAAUGUUUCACCGAGCGAGUACUCUUCACCGAGGUAACAUCCCUUCAUG